UCCCCCUGCUUCCAAGCCAGGGGAAGCCAGUUGGUCGCACCACAAACCACCACCUCAUCCAGCCCCGGGGCAAGGGAAAGAGAAGCUGCCACAAAGCAGCCGCUGGGGCUGCACGAUCCUCUCGCCCCAGCCCCGAGGAAGGGCUGCCCUGCUGAGCCUGGAUCCCUCCCUCCCAGCCUCCAGCUCCCAGACCCGCGGGCACAAGCGAUCCCCAGAGAGCCGCUCCGCUCACCUCUCCGCUCGCAUCCCUCACGCCGGGGGGCAGGCGGCUCCUAAGGACCUUACCCAGGCGGGACGGGAGAGAGGGGGGGAUGCAUCAGGCACGCGGCUUCGCCCCGGGGCGCGCCACCCGGCCCCGCAGCGGCUAUAGCGACACCCACCUCCCGGGAGCCUCCAAACUCCCCUCUCGUGUCUCUUUGUACCAGCGAACAGACACAGCAGCCGGCCGCCCGCACUGCGGCUGCGCGCUGCCCAAAAUCAACAAUGCAACCCUCCUCCCCUGCUGGGGCUCCGGAGAGGAGGAGGAGCAGCGGGAUAAAUCGAGCUCUGGGGCUGAGCAUAGAGCGCACAGUCUGCGCGCAGGGGCACAGACCAGGCUGCCUAGCAAGGGUCGCUGGCUUAGGGGCAGAGUCACCAAGCGGGAGAGCUAGCUCAUACCAAGGAAAUUCAAUAACAAGAGUGAGAGGGCGAUAUGUUGCUCCCAAGAGGUUCAAGCAAAGCAGAGGACUGAACUUCAGGAUGUUGCUUGGGUAGAUUUGAUAGGUCAGCUCAGUUAUAUAGACCUGCCACUGCCUUUCUGUGUGACUUUGGACAAAUCACUCUCUCUGUGCCUUGGUGUUCCCAUCUGUAACGUGGGGAUAAUAAUACCUGCUAGGAUAGAAGAGAGGGCUGUUUAGAUCUAUUUAGAGCAUGCCCAGUGCUGGACCUCUUUCAAUCAUUUUAAAUAAAAUGUUUUGCAAUUUA
Non-coding RNA from Chrysemys picta bellii (western painted turtle), 963 nucleotides. NCBI's taxonomy places the organism in Eukaryota, Metazoa, Chordata, Testudines, Emydidae. The record is from RefSeq and is a predicted model, not a curated record.